This is a long non-coding RNA of Selaginella moellendorffii, 572 nucleotides long. RefSeq lists it as uncharacterized. The record is from RefSeq and is a predicted model, not a curated record. Lineage: Eukaryota; Viridiplantae; Streptophyta; Lycopodiopsida; Selaginellales; Selaginellaceae. The transcript is spliced from 6 exons.
GAGCUCACUCUUGGAAUCGCGAUGGCGAUGGCGACGGUAAUCCCUGUGGUCACGCCAGUCGACAAGAAUGCCGGCGCUGGCAAGCCUCGGUCAGGAAAAGAGAUCGAGCUGAAAGGAAUGGAGAUUUCAAGUCCCACUAUACCUUAUUACAGAUCGAAGCAAUUCACUUCAGAGCAGUAUUGAAAGCAAUUUCCCUUUGAACUGCAAGAUUGGAAUCGAAAGUUUUACUUUGAGAAGUUCUCCGGAAGAGUACCAAGCAUGAAGAGAAGCGUGAAUCCUCUGUUUCGUUUCUUCCCGAACAGAGAUUUUCCUGCACGGCUCGCGCAGUGAUACGAGUGAAGGAACCUCUUGAACUCUAGAGCUCGAGCUUGCGAUUCCAGCUUCCACUUCUUUCACGAUGGGAGUUGGAACUCCGAGCAACCACGACUUGGACAGACUUCUACGCUUUCGAAAAUCAACGAUUAGUAGGUGCUCUUAAACUUUUUGAUCGAUCGCUCGUGGAACCAGUCCAAGUGAAAAGAAUUGCGAGCUCUCUCUCUCUCUCUCUCUCUCUCUCUCUCUCUCUCUCUCUC